AAGUGUUACAGCUCCUUUAGAAUUUGUCUAGCAGGUUUGCCUGUCCUCACUGGAAGAGCCCCC
Molecule: small nuclear RNA, 63 nt
Filed under: Prolemur simus (greater bamboo lemur)
Lineage: Eukaryota; Metazoa; Chordata; Mammalia; Primates; Lemuridae
Description: U7 small nuclear RNA (ENSPSMG00000025917.1)
Rfam family: U7 small nuclear RNA
About the family: Animal histone pre-mRNAs are spliced by a different mechanism than nuclear pre-mRNAs and self-splicing introns. This processing involves the U7 snRNP, which contains only one RNA species: U7.
Source: Rfam by way of RNAcentral